GAACACGUAGCCCAACGGCAAGAGUACCGCAUUUUUAUGCGGAUGGACGCGGGUUCGAUUCCCGCCGUGUCCA
RNAcentral lists this transfer RNA (73 nucleotides) under Phytophthora infestans T30-4. It matches the Rfam family "tRNA". From Rfam's summary of the family: Transfer RNA (tRNA) molecules are approximately 80 nucleotides in length. Their secondary structure includes four short double-helical elements and three loops (D, anti-codon, and T loops). Lineage: Eukaryota; Oomycota; Peronosporomycetes; Peronosporales; Peronosporaceae. The record is from Rfam by way of RNAcentral.